RNAcentral lists this ribosomal RNA (531 nucleotides) under Staurocucumis cf. turqueti AKM-2016. Its description in RNAcentral is "partial 16S ribosomal RNA". It matches the Rfam family "Bacterial large subunit ribosomal RNA", at positions 1809 to 2605 of the family's 2925-position model. The record is from RNAcentral. Lineage: Eukaryota; Metazoa; Echinodermata; Holothuroidea; Dendrochirotida; Cucumariidae.
AAAAACAUAGUCCCUUGAAUUUAAUAAGGGAUCAAGCCUGCCCAAUGGAAUAAUUUUCUUAAUGGCCGCGGUAUCUUGACCGUGCAAAGGUAGCAUAAUCAUUUGUCUCUUAAAUGGAGACUGGUAUGAAUGGCACUACAUUUCCUAACUGUCUCCUUUAUACACUUUUUAAACUUCUACUAACGUGAAGAAGCGUUAAUUAAAAAGAAAGACGAGAAGACCCUGUCGAGCUUAAUCCUCUAUAUUAUAUAAUCCUUUUAUAGGAAUAAAUUACUAAUAGAAGAUUCGGUUGGGGCAACCAUGGAGUUAUAAUUAUCCUCCAGAAAAAUAAAAAUAUUUUUAAUAUUUUAUUUAUUAUACAGAACCAGAAUACUGGUAAACAGAAAAAGUUACCGCAGGGAUAACAGCGUUAUCUCCUUUAAGAGUUCAUAUUGACAAGGAGGAUUGCGACCUCGAUGUUGGAUUGGGGUAACCAAAGGGUGCAGCAGCUCUUAAGGUUGGACUGUUCGUCCAUUAAUCCCCUACGUGAUC